CACUGAAUAUUUAAAGAGCUGCAGUAUUUUGACUGUACAAAGGUAGCAUAAUCAUUAGUAUAUUAAUUGUAUACUGGAAUGAAAGGUUGGACGAGAAAUAUACUGUCUCUUAAUAAUAUAUAUAAUUUUACUUUCUAGUAAAAAGGCUGGAAUUUUAUUUUUGGACGAUAAGACCCUAUAGAACUUUAAUUAUUAUAAUUAAAUAAUUUGGGUUAUUUUCAUUUAUUUUAAUAGAAUUAAUUUUAAUUGGGGCGAUUUGAAUAAUAGCUAAACUAUUCAUUAAUUUUUUCAUUGAUUUAUGUUUUUUUUUGAUCCUUUAUUAUGGAUUAAAAGAUUAAGUUACCUUAGGGAUAACAGCGCAAUUAUCUUUGAGAGUUCUUAUUGACAAGAUAGAUUGUGACCUCGAUGUUGGAUUAAGAUUAUUAUUUGGGUGUAGGAGCUCAACUAAUUGGUCUGUUCGACCAUU
Molecule: ribosomal RNA, 466 nt
Filed under: Criotettix bispinosus
Lineage: Eukaryota; Metazoa; Arthropoda; Insecta; Orthoptera; Tetrigidae
Description: partial 16S ribosomal RNA
Rfam family: Bacterial large subunit ribosomal RNA
Source: RNAcentral